Molecule: long non-coding RNA, 302 nt
Organism: Alosa alosa (allis shad)
Lineage: Eukaryota; Metazoa; Chordata; Actinopteri; Clupeiformes; Clupeidae
Exons: 3
Source: RefSeq, a predicted model, not a curated record
CCCAUAUCCCGGAUAUCUCCUCGGUGACCUCUGGAGCGCUGCCAGAUUGAGGCCAGCACACUUCAACACCAAUCAAGCCAAGAGCCAUGACACCCACAGGAUCAGAGAACUCCCAUAUCCACCGACCUUGACCAGGGAACCUCAUCAAUACACUUCAAACAUCGAUCCGUUCUCAAGAUGCUGUCUCCAUUACUGCGAUUCAUCACAGUGCUCUCGGCAGACCAUCAGUCAGACACGCAGAUGUCAGGAGAAUGUGUCGUCGUCUCUUUCUCUCUCUCUUUCUUUCUUUCUUUUCUUUCUUU